GCAUCUAUGGAGUAGAAGUUAACUCGUCCCUCUCCCAUUUGAAUAAAUGGGGCUUGGGGAAAACCCGGGUGCAAAUCCCGGUGGAUGCA
Non-coding RNA from Annulohypoxylon nitens, 89 nucleotides. The record is from the annotation of a GenBank genome assembly. Lineage: Eukaryota; Fungi; Ascomycota; Sordariomycetes; Xylariales; Hypoxylaceae.